GCUCGCCGGAAGACCAAGGGUUCCUGUCCAACGUUAAUCGGGGCAGGGUGAGUCGACCCCUAAGGCGAGGCCGAAAGGCGUAGUCGAUGGGAAACAGGUUAAUAUUCCUGUACUUGGUGUUACUGCGAAGGGGGGACGGAGAAGGCUAUGUUGGCCGGGCGACGGUUGUCCCGGUUUAAGCGUGUAGGCUGGUUUUCCAGGCAAAUCCGGAAAAUCAAGGCUGAGGCGUGAUGACGAGGCACUACGGUGCUGAAGCGACAAAUGCCCUGCUUCCAGGAAAAGCCUCUAAGCAUCAGGUAACAUCAAAUCGUACCCCAAACCGACACAGGUGGUCAGGUAGAGAAUACCAAGGCGCUUGAGAGAACUCGGGUGAAGGAACUAGGCAAAAUGGUGCCGUAACUUCGGGAGAAGGCACGCUGAUAUGUAGGUGAAGCGACUUGCUCGUGGAGCUGAAAUCAGUCGAAGAUACCAGCUGGCUGCAACUGUUUAUUAAAAACACAGCACUGUGCAAACACGAAAGUGGACGUAUACGGUGUGACGCCUGCCCGGUGCCGGAAGGUUAAUUGAUGGGGUUAGCGGUAACGCGAAGCUCUUGAUCGAAGCCCCGGUAAACGGCGGCCGUAACUAUAACGGUCCUAAGGUAGCGAAAUUCCUUGUCGGGUAAGUUCCGACCUGCACGAAUGGCGUAAUGAUGGCCAGGCUGUCUCCACCCGAGACUCAGUGAAAUUGAACUCGCUGUGAAGAUGCAGUGUACCCGCGGCAAGACGGAAAGACCCCGUGAACCUUUACUAUAGCUUGACACUGAACAUUGAGCCUUGAUGUGUAGGAUAGGUGGGAGGCUUUGAAGUGUGGACGCCAGUCUGCAUGGAGCCGACCUUGAAAUACCACCCUUUAAUGUUUGAUGUUCUAACGUGGGCCCCUUACCGGGGUUGCGGACAGUGUCUGGUGGGUAGUUUGACUGGGGCGGUCUCCUCCUAAAGAGUAACGGAGGAGCACGAAGGUUGGCUAAUCCUGGUCGGACAUCAGGAGGUUAGUGCAAUGGCAUAAGCCAGCUUGACUGCGAGCGUGACGGCGCGAGCAGGUGCGAAAGCAGGUCAUAGUGAUCCGGUGGUUCUGAAUGGAAGGGCCAUCGCUCAACGGAUAAAAGGUACUCCGGGGAUAACAGGCUGAUACCGCCCAAGAGUUCAUAUCGACGGCGGUGUUUGGCACCUCGAUGUCGGCUCAUCACAUCCUGGGGCUGAAGUAGGUCCCAAGGGUAUGGCUGUUCGCCAUUUAAAGUGGUACGCGAGCUGGGUUUAGAACGUCGUGAGACAGUUCGGUCCCUAUCUGCCGUGGGCGCUGGAGAACUGAGGGGGGCUGCUCCUAGUACGAGAGGACCGGAGUGGACGCAUCACUGGUGUUCGGGUUGUCAUGCCAAUGGCACUGCCCGGUAGCUAAAUGCGGAAGAGAUAAGUGCUGAAAGCAUCUAAGCACGAAACUUGCCCCGAGAUGAGUUCUCCCUGACUCCUUGAGAGUCCUGAAGGAACGUUGAAGACGACGACGUUGAUAGGCCGGGUGUGUAAGCGCAGCGAUGCGUUGAGCUAACCGGUACUAAUGAACCGUGAGGCUUAACCUU
This 1615-nucleotide ribosomal RNA is filed under the name Escherichia coli. Its description in RNAcentral is "partial 23S ribosomal RNA". It matches the Rfam family "Bacterial large subunit ribosomal RNA", at positions 1332 to 2925 of the family's 2925-position model. The record is from RNAcentral. Lineage: Bacteria; Pseudomonadati; Pseudomonadota; Gammaproteobacteria; Enterobacterales; Enterobacteriaceae.